GGAGUGAAGAGAACUGUUUCACAUGUUCCAUACCCAUGGUUACCAAACAUCUGACUUUUGUGUCACAAAAAUACAGAUUCCCUUCCAAUUUCACAUCCCUCCCUUCUUUGCAGAUUAAUACAGUGAACCCAAAAGUUGUUGUUUUUUUAAUGCAAAGCUGGGAGCUAGAAAUAAGAAUGGAAUGAAAUAUUAGCCAAGGGUAGGGGAUUGGGAUUUGAAUUAUGCAACUUUCUCCAACAGGAAGGUAACAAGGUAUACAAUGCAGAGUAAACAAGGUGGUCCCUUUUAGCUUAAAAUGGCAGAAUGCUGUCUCUUAGGGUGAUCUUCCCAGAGACCUGCAAGUGACAGGGCCCUUUGACCCUAACAUAAGCUGGCAUGAGCAUUGUAGUUUUUGACAUGACAGUGAGUAUUCCUGUUAACAUAGUACUGCUGCAAUCACACCAAAGAAUGUGAUUUGAAAGAGUGUAUGUGCAAUGAUGUCUAAUGAUGCUAACUUGUGAUUUUUCAGCUGCGAUGUUUUUUUUUUUGGGGGGGUCUAACUUAGGAAGCCAAUAUUAAUUCGCAAAUAAAAGCAGUUUGCUAAGAAUUGGCUGGACAUAAUAAAAGUUCCCCACCUUUACAGACUAAUGUGACAAAACCUAUAACAAAGGGAAGAAACAAGCCACAAUGUUAUUUGGGAAUUGUGGUGCAAGGCUUUAAGCUUAUUGUGCAAAGGCUGGCCAUGAAUUUCUGUCACCCUCAAGUUUUUUUACAAGGGUCUUACUAGCUCUUCAUUUCCUCUUGGGAGAGGCAACUAAUACAGAGAAGGUGGGAUAUAUAAUCACUUCCACAUUAUAUCCAAGCCAAGCCAUUCAUUUAACUAUAAACUUUUGAAAUCUCAAUUUGGAUCCUUACUUGGCAACAUUCCAAAAGGCACAUGGCCCAGUUCUUCAAUCUGUUAAAAUCAUUUUGAAUCCUGAUUCUGCCCUCUGUGGCAUUAGCUACCCCUCCCAGUUUGGUGUCAUCUGCAAAUUUGAUAAGCUAUUUAUAAAGUUGUUUAUAAAGACAUUGAACAACAACAGGCCCAGGAUGGAACCCUGCGGCACCCCACUUGUCACUUUCCCCCAGGAUGACGAGGAACCAUUGAUGAGUACUCUUUGGGUUCAGUCAGUCAACCUGCUACAAAUCCACCUAACCGUUACCUUGUUCAACCUACAUUUUACUAGCUUCCUCGCAAGAAUAUCACUUUCUCAAACGCCUUACUAAAAUCGAGAUACACUAUGCCCACAGCAUUCCCUUGAUCCACCAAGUUUGCAACUCCAUCAAAAAAAAGCAAUGUGAUUGGUUUGGAAUGACUUAUUUUUGAGAAGCCCAUGCUGGGUCUUAGCAAUCACAGCAUCCUUUUCUUAAGUGCUCAUAGACCAACUGUUGAAUUAUAUGUUCUAGGACCUUUCCUACACAGUCUUCCUAGGCAGCUUCACAGAAAGGGUUAUAACCAUUCCACUCCACAAUGUUCUUCAUAGCUGCCAUGUUAUUGGCCUAUUCCUUCAAUAAAGUUGUGGCCAGUUUAAUACAAGCUAUCAGUGUUCUUUUUAUUUCUUCUACUUGCAAACAUUAAGAGUGUGGUUUCUGCUUAUAAGCUGUUAUUAGUCUAUUGAUCAGCAAAUGUUUUUCUAACACUCUGGAGAGAAAUAAGAACAUUUUAAUGGUAUAAUAGAUCACAGGAUCUCAUACUGUGGAAUGCACCUCUUCCCCGUCCCAGGGAGGGGGAAAAGCAUUUUGGGCAGUGGAAGUGCAAAGUCUUUAAUAGAAUACUGGGCAUCACAGCAUUAACAUUUGUUUUGAUCACUUAUGGCUGCAGAGAGAUGUAACUAGUACAGCAAGAAAUUGAAACUUUUCUCUCUCAUCACACCCUUAUGCAACUUAUGAGGGUGGAUAUUCAGAAUUCCUUUUGAAACAUUUGGGAAGACGUAUUGGAAUAAUUCUCUGCUAUUCAUUUACCUAUAUGUUCCAGGAGUGAUAUUUUGAAGCCACUGGUACAGUUGUUGUGUUAGUGUAUUUCAGAUGGAAUUUUUGAAUUUUUAUGGCUUUAUUUUGAUGCCUUGUAAUGGACCCUCCUAGAGGGUUUUUUCUGGUAGAUGACUUGAUGCUCUUUUGUCUUCUGGUUUCUUAUGUUUUGGACACAAAGGGAAGCAGUGGAGGCCAAAUCUGGCAGGUGGUGAGCAGUAACUGCUAUUGCAGGUAACAUUUAGGAUUAUUGCUUUAAGUCAAUUUAUUAUUCCAGCAAAUGCUGGAAAUGUUUGCUAGGAUAAGGCCCAGAUAUGAAUUUAUGGGACUUAUAAAUGCUAACUUUAAAGAAAAGGAGGACAUUAAGAAACCCCUGUUUUUUCCUGCUAGUAUUAAAAACCCCUUCCACACCAUAGCUUCUAUAGCGGACCUAAUUAAGUGAGGUUUGAAAAAGAAAUUAGCAGGGGACUCUUUUCAUGAGAUAGACAUUAGCUAACAUCUAGAGCUCAAGUUGCUGCCAGGCAUACAGAAAUUGGGGCAGGAGCCAGUGAAAUUGGCAUCUCUCUCUCUCAUCUAUCUAUCUCUCUAUCCCACCCCUGCUCCAUCGGUGGAGUGAUCAAAUAUGUUGUUUUCUGCAGACUGUGGAGAUUAUGGAAGGAAAGAGGGGUAAUUCUAAGGUACUCAGUUCUUAAGCAGCUUGGAGCUUUAUGAGUUACAAGUAUACAGUUUUGCCUAGAAUGCUAUAGGAAUUUAGGCUAGUCCGCAGGAGCCAACUCCUAGAGGCCAAGGGGUAUUCAGUCCCCCCCCCCCCCCAUUGAUGGUGGGUAUUGCCAUUCAAAUGGUGUCCAUGCGUUGCAUCAUGUGAUUGAUUAUGCAGGGCAGGGCUUACUUACCCCCCCCAUAUUUUUUUCCAAGUUGACACCCCUGGACCAGUCAUUGGGGUGCUACUAUAAUGAUAACUGAUUGUUGUUGUUUCGUCGUUUAGUCGUGUCCGACUCUUCGUGACCCCAUGGACCAGAGCACGCCAGACACUCCUGUCUUUGAUAACUGAUUACAGAACCAUUAAAAAGUGAGCAACUGGGCAAUAGCUGUGAGACCCUGGACUGCAUGGGAAGCUUUGUGCGGAACAGAUCUCGAUUUGUUAAAGGCAGGGAUGAUGGGUCCUAGAAAGCAAAACUGGAAUUAGUGAAAAGUAGCCUCUGCAAGAUUGGUGAAACUACUGACCUGCCAGCCUUCAGAACCUCCUAGAUGCUUGCUGAAGAACAUGUGUACAGUGUGGUCCCCCCCUUUUUUACAUACAUAAAUUAGUAAAGGGGAAAUCAUAGAAUUGUAGAUUUGGAAGGGACCAUGAGGGUCAUCUAGUCCAACCCCCUGCAAUCCUUUUGCCCAAUGUGGGGUUCGAACCCACAACCCAGAGAUUAGAAGUCUCAUGUUCUACCAACUGAGCUAUGCGAGGUGUUACGCAAUGAUAACAUUUCAUAAUUAUAACCUUGAGGACUGCUGCUCCCCAUCUGAACUGAUCCAAAUUUGGCUAUUAUCAUGAGGCUACUCUUCAUGUGCUUCCUGCAGAGGAUGGCAACAUGAGAAAGGGCCUUUUCUGCAGUGGCUCCACAAUUAAAGAAUGCUCUCCCUGGGGAGGUUUGUCUGAAGCCUUUAUUAUACAUCUUUAGGUGCCAUGCAAAAAUAUUCCUCUUCUCUCAGGCCUUUGGCUAAUUAAACAAUCUAUGGCCUUUUAAAUUGUGUCCAUGUGUCCAUGUGUGCUGUUUUUGUUUGUUACUAGGCUAUGUAUGUUUGUGUUUUUAUAUUUUUGUCUCCUAUAAUUGACAUGUUGUGACAGCUUGUCUAUCAAAAGUAUCCCAACAUUUGUGCAUCUGAACUUAUUAGUCUUCUGAAUUGAAAUGUUUCUGAUCUUUCUGGUGCUAAGCUGUCAAUACAGGCAGCCCCCCAUGUGCGUUCAAUAUGUGCACAACCGUGUAUAUGCGCAUCACACCAAACCCAGAUGUGAACAAGAACGUCAUAAAGACGUCACUGAACUAAAAGGGGGUGGGGGGCAGAAUGAGGGUGGAGUGGAUUGGGGUGUUUGCAGGCUAUUUCAAUGGGUUUUAAUUAUACAGUAUGUGAUUUCACUGACACACACAAGCCUUGGAACAUAACCCCCGCAUAAAUGGGGGGCUCCCUGUAGAUCAACAGAUAUCAUUAAUUUGAUUUUUAGAUAGCUGUAUAUAUUUAAUUACAUGUAGCAUUUUCCUCAUCAAUAUAGUCUAACAGCAUUGGGAAAUGAAAUAUUUUCAAUAAAAAAUUGUUAUAUAUUU
Molecule: non-coding RNA, 4298 nt
Organism: Podarcis lilfordi (Lilford's wall lizard)
Lineage: Eukaryota; Metazoa; Chordata; Lepidosauria; Squamata; Lacertidae
Source: the annotation of a GenBank genome assembly